This 576-nucleotide ribosomal RNA is filed under the name Macrococcus sp. RNAcentral describes it as "bacterial SSU rRNA". It matches the Rfam family "Bacterial small subunit ribosomal RNA", at positions 353 to 920 of the family's 1533-position model. The record is from RNAcentral. Lineage: Bacteria; Bacillati; Bacillota; Bacilli; Caryophanales; Staphylococcaceae.
AGUAGGGUAUCUUCCGCAAUGGACGAAAGUCUGACGGAGCAACGCCGCGUGAGUGAAGAAGGUUUUCGGAUCGUAAAACUCUGUUGUAAGGGAAGAACAAGUACGUUAGUAACUGAACGUACCUUGACGGUACCUUACCAGAAAGCCACGGCUAACUACGUGCCAGCAGCCGCGGUAAUACGUAGGUGGCAAGCGUUAUCCGGAAUUAUUGGGCGUAAAGCGCGCGUAGGCGGUCUCUUAAGUCUGAUGUGAAAGCCCCCGGCUCAACCGGGGAGGGUCAUUGGAAACUGGGAGACUUGAGUGCAGAAGAGGAGAGUGGAAUUCCAUGUGUAGCGGUGAAAUGCGCAGAGAUAUGGAGGAACACCAGUGGCGAAGGCGGCUCUCUGGUCUGUAACUGACGCUGAGGUGCGAAAGCGUGGGGAUCAAACAGGAUUAGAUACCCUGGUAGUCCACGCCGUAAACGAUGAGUGCUAAGUGUUGGGGGGUUUCCGCCCCUCAGUGCUGCAGCUAACGCAUUAAGCACUCCGCCUGGGGAGUACGGUCGCAAGACUGAAACUCAAAGGAAUUGACGGGGCC